This 253-nucleotide ribosomal RNA is filed under the name uncultured bacterium. RNAcentral describes it as "partial 16S ribosomal RNA". It matches the Rfam family "Bacterial small subunit ribosomal RNA", at positions 524 to 776 of the family's 1533-position model. The record is from RNAcentral.
UACGAAGGGGGCUAGCGUUGUUCGGAAUUACUGGGCGUAAAGCGCAUGUAGGCGGCUAUUCAAGUCGGGGGUGAAAUCCUGAGGCUCAACCUCAGAACUGCCUUCGAUACUGUUUAGCUUGAGUGUGGAAGAGGUUGGUGGAACUGCAAGUGUAGAGGUGAAAUUCGUAGAUAUUUGCAAGAACACCGGUGGCGAAGGCGGCCAACUGGUCCAUUACUGACGCUGAGAUGCGAAAGCGUGGGGAGCAAACAGG